This 1449-nucleotide ribosomal RNA is filed under the name uncultured bacterium. RNAcentral's name for it is "bacterial SSU rRNA". It matches the Rfam family "Bacterial small subunit ribosomal RNA". The record is from RNAcentral.
AGGGUUUGAUCAUGGCUCAGGAUGAACGCUGGCGGCGUGCUUAACACAUGCAAGUCGAACGAACCUUCGGGUUAGUGGCGGACGGGUGAGUAACGCGUGAGAAUCUGCCCUCAGGAGGGGGAUAACGGUUGGAAACGACCGCUAAUACCCCAUAUGCCUAUUGGUGAAAUGAAUUUCGCCUGAGGAUGAGCUCGCGUCUGAUUAGCUAGUUGGUGAGGUAAUGGCUCACCAAGGCUUCGAUCAGUAGCUGGUCUGAGAGGAUGAUCAGCCACACUGGGACUGAGACACGGCCCAGACUCCUACGGGAGGCAGCAGUGGGGAAUUUUCCGCAAUGGGCGAAAGCCUGACGGAGCAACGCCGCGUGAGGGACGAAGGCCUCUGGGCUGUAAACCUCUUUUCUCAAGGAAGAAGAUAUGACGGUACUUGAGGAAUAAGCCACGGCUAAUUCCGUGCCAGCAGCCGCGGUAAUACGGGAGUGGCAAGCGUUAUCCGGAAUUAUUGGGCGUAAAGCGUCCGCAGGCGGCUUUUCAAGUCUGCUGUUAAAGCGUGGAGCUUAACUCCAUCAUGGCAGUGGAAACUGAAAGGCUUGAGUAUGGUAGGGGCAGAGGGAAUUCCCGGUGUAGCGGUGAAAUGCGUAGAUAUCGGGAAGAACACCAGUGGCGAAGGCGCUCUGCUGGGCCAUUACUGACGCUCAUGGACGAAAGCCAGGGGAGCGAAAGGGAUUAGAUACCCCUGUAGUCCUGGCCGUAAACGAUGAACACUAGGUGUCGGGGGAAUCGACCCCUUCGGUGUCGUAGCUAACGCGUUAAGUGUUCCGCCUGGGGAGUACGCACGCAAGUGUGAAACUCAAAGGAAUUGACGGGGGCCCGCACAAGCGGUGGAGUAUGUGGUUUAAUUCGAUGCAACGCGAAGAACCUUACCAGGGUUUGACAUCCUGCGACCCUCUUAGAAAUUUGAGGGUGCCUUCGGGAAUGCAGUGACAGGUGGUGCAUGGCUGUCGUCAGCUCGUGUCGUGAGAUGUUGGGUUAAGUCCCGCAACGAGCGCAACCCACGUUUUUAGUUGCCAGCAUUUAGUUGGGCACUCUAGAAAGACCGCCGGUGAUAAACCGGAGGAAGGUGUGGAUGACGUCAAGUCAUCAUGCCCCUUACACCCUGGGCUACACACGUACUACAAUGCUACGGACAAAGGGCAGCAAACUCGCGAGAGCUAGCAAAUCCCAUAAACCGUGGCUCAGUUCAGAUCGUAGGCUGCAACUCGCCUACGUGAAGUAGGAAUCGCUAGUAAUCGCAGGUCAGCAUACUGCGGUGAAUACGUUCCCGGGCCUUGUACACACCGCCCGUCACACCAUGGAAGUUGGCCAUGCCCGAAGUCGUUACUCCAACCCUUGUGGAGGAGGACGCCGAAGGUGGGGCUAAUGACUGGGGUGAAGUCGUAACAAGGUAGCCGUA